Molecule: non-coding RNA, 2869 nt
Organism: Podarcis muralis (Common wall lizard)
Lineage: Eukaryota; Metazoa; Chordata; Lepidosauria; Squamata; Lacertidae
Source: RefSeq, a predicted model, not a curated record
UGAUCGCCCCAUCGUGUUAAACACCAGAGGUGUGAUAGCUUUCGAUUACAACAAUAACCAAAAUGACCUUCCUAAUAACCACUUCUCUUCGGUAAAAUAUCCUGUCUUCUGGCUCGAAGCCACUGUGUGUUAUUUCAUGCUCCAUUAAAUCAUUUAUGACUGGAUAGUUUAUUGCUACCCCUGGAAAGGGAGGCGGGGGAGAGUGAAGAAACUCUGAACUUGUUCCCUGGUGCAAAUACUGGUACCCACCACUGCUUAAGAAGGAGCCAGAACAUCAGACUCAAGGCCAUACGAAGAGGCCAUAGCUUAGCAGAAAAGCAUCGGCUGUGCAUGCAGGAAGGCCCCAGGUUCAAUCCCUGACAUCUCCAGGUAGGGGUGUCUGAAAUUGUGGACAGCUGUUGAGAGUCAUUGUGGAUAGUACUGAGCUAAAUGAACGGACAGCUUCUUGUGUUUCUCAUGUACCUAAACGCAGUUCUAAGAAGGUAGCUUUAAAUAUUACAUGAAGAGCAGUAGUGGCCAAAUCAUGGAAGAAAGGGCAGGGAGGCCCUUAAAUUAAAUCCAGCAUCUCCAUCUUCUGACUCAGGGCUGACAUUAGGGCUUGGCAAGGAAGAACAUCUAUUGAAGCCCACAUCUCAUGCAGGUCCCACUGCUGAUCACAUUAGCCUCCUUGCCUUCAUGUUGCUCCCUUUGCCAUUGCCACUUGCAUGCUUUCUCCAUCUCUCUGUUUUAGAGGCAGACAGUUCAAAAAGCAAUGGCAGUGAGCAGAAAGUUAACAACAGCUGCCAUCACCUUCUUGCUCACCUGCCUUCCUCUCCGUGAAUUAGACCAGGGACAGAGGAUUAUGGCAGGGAGGAGAACAAAGACCUGAUGGAGGCAUCUUGCCCGAGGGAAUCAUAAGAUCUGGAGUCAGCACUGUUAUGACUCCCUCAACUUUUAGUCAAGUGGUGUCUCCCCACUGCCAUCUAAAACAAUAGCAAAAAAGUUGGCUUAGGUGGUGAAAAACACCUUUUACCAGCUUUGUUAGCUAUGACAGUGCCCAGGUGUCUCUAAACCACAGUAGUUUGUCUACAGCACUGAUAACUUCAAGAUUUUAGUUCUGAUCCAAAUGCGUGCAGAACUAACCUAUCUUAUAGUUUGUUGUUAUUACUGGAAACAUGAGAAUAUGAUGUCCAAAUCACUUGAACAGCCUCUUUCAGAACUGCCUGGAACAUGGAAAAAAAUGGAUAGGGAGACAUUUUUCUCCCACUUUUAUAAUAGUGGCACUGAAUUCGUUUUAUGUUCUCAUCUCCUUAACAUGUAAAAACACCCAGGCUACAUUUACAUGGUAGUUUAUUCCAUUAACCUGACAUUUCCCUAACUUCCACAUUAUAUUUGAGCUUUCACAUGAUUUAAAAGCCACUUCUGGAAAACUAAUGGGAAUAUAGCACAAGCUUAGUGCUCAUUUCCAUGUGAUUUGAUUCUAGAAGAAAUCCAUUUGCAGCCCCUUUAAUCUGGAAAAUUGUGAGAGUAACGUGAAAAAAUAUAUAUGGGGCAGUAUAUCAGCAUUCAGUGCUUUCCUGCUCUUUUCAUGGGGGAGUCAUGGGGGUGGUGAAUGUGGUGUGAAUGAAAGUAAUCAUGACCUGUCAGUAUAAUUGGUCAAAAAGCCACAGUUCCAUAACACAGCAACAGGUUUGAAAGGAAAAUUAGAAAACAGGAAAGAAGCAUCAGCAUUAUAAUCAUGAAAAGUAAUGCAAUAUUCUUCACAUCUGAAUUCACCCUCAGAGAAAUCUUGCUGCCUACAGUUUGGGGACAUAACACCAGGCUGCAUAGGGCUCUGUUUUCUUUGGUUUAAGUCAAACUUGUCAUCCAGACUUUGGGUGCUGCGCAGGGCUCUGUUUUCUUUGGUUUAAGUCAAACUUGUCAUCCAGACUUUGGGUGCUGCGCAGGGCUCUGUUUUCUUUGGUUUAAGUCAAACUUGUCAUCCAGACUUUGGAGUGUGUUCCCAGUUAGCCAGAGCACUGCUCCUCUCAGUCUCCCACUUGCAACUUUUAUGUACCACACUAACACCUUGGUCAGGAAACUACAGUAAAAGGGUGCUCUGUAUCACAAACCGAGCUUCAUGCAAGCAGGGCUGCUUUCACUGCUGGGAAUAUUUGCCUAUAUACAAAGGGGAUGCACAUUCUAUUUAAGUGAAUCCAUCACGCCCUCCUGGCGUAAUUUGUCAUGAGACAAAGGUUCUUGAGAGCAGAAGAAGCAGUAAGGCCUACAAGGCCUACACAAUCAUUUAAGCCUAAGGCUGCUAACUGUUAACAGCAAACUGCUAAGUCACUGUGGCACGUGACUCAUCUUGGGUGAUGACUCGUUCUCCCUAUAAAAGUAGCCAGCCUCUCUGGGCCUCAAGUCAGAGAGCUGUAUGGAUUGUGUAUGUAGUAGUCUGUGGAAUAGUGCUAUUGUUGUUGCUACGUAAAGCUAAGGCAGACAGAGUGGCUCCAGGACUCUAGUAAAUCAGUAACUAAGACGGUUCCUCUGUGAAGAGACAGAUAGCUGCUAUGAGCACUCUGUGUCUGAGCUUGCCUGUCCUGCAGAAGAUCCACAGCUGUAGAGGAAGACAACGCUCUGGUCCAGGCAAGAUGCAGUAUCUCCUUCUCUCCCUGCUUGCUCACCCUUUUGACUCCCUCCCUUCCUUUUGACAGUCCCAGCAUGAUGCAAACAAACCCACACCCAGAGCAUUUCUCCAUUUUUUCUGGAGAAACAAAGGACACAAUAUUAUGAUGAUGUUGAUGAUGAUGAUGAUUAGAAUGAAAUCCUAAGAACAAAAUUUGUCUGCCUUUUGGUCUCCUUGUGUUAUGACUGCCUCUCUCAGCCUGACCUCCUGAUUUGCUCUCAGAUU